RNAcentral lists this non-coding RNA (32 nucleotides) under Rattus norvegicus (Norway rat). The record is from RNAcentral. Lineage: Eukaryota; Metazoa; Chordata; Mammalia; Rodentia; Muridae.
UGCCAUUCGGGCUGUAAAACCCAGUACGCAGU